RNAcentral lists this ribosomal RNA (497 nucleotides) under uncultured bacterium. RNAcentral describes it as "partial 16S ribosomal RNA". It matches the Rfam family "Bacterial small subunit ribosomal RNA", at positions 28 to 507 of the family's 1533-position model. The record is from RNAcentral.
GAUGAACGCUGGCGGCGUGCCUAAUACAUGCAAGUCGAGCGAACAGACGAGGAGCUUGCUCCUCUGACGUUAGCGGCGGACGGGUGAGUAACACGUGGAUAACCUACCUAUAAGACUGGGAUAACUUCGGGAAACCGGAGCUAAUACCGGAUAAUAUAUUGAACCGCAUGGUUCAAUAGUGAAAGACGGCUUUGCUGUCACUUAUAGAUGGAUCCGCGCCGCAUUAGCUAGUUGGUAAGGUAGCGGCUUACCAAGGCGACGAUGCGUAGCCGACCUGAGAGGGUGAUCGGCCACACUGGAACUGAGACACGGUCCAGACUCCUACGGGAGGCAGCAGUAGGGAAUCUUCCGCAAUGGGCGAAAGCCUGACGGAGCAACGCCGCGUGAGUGAUGAAGGUCUUCGGAUCGUAAAACUCUGUUAUUAGGGAAGAACAAAUGUGUAAGUAACUAUGCACGUCUUGACGGUACCUAAUCAGAAAGCCACGGCUAACUACGUG